GCCCAUUCGAUGGGUUCUCUUAUGAUGUGUAGGGGUAUCAUUGUGAUCCGAUGUCAUGAAGAAAAAAGUGAAUAGAUUCUUAUAAAUUAUUUUAAUCAUAAAUAUAUUUAGAUUAAAUCUAAAAUAAUUUAUGAUUCAUUAUAAUAAGAUAAAUUUAGAUAUAAAAUUAUUUUAGAAUCUAAAUAGCAUGUUACAUUAGA
RNAcentral lists this long non-coding RNA (200 nucleotides) under Elaeis guineensis (African oil palm). RNAcentral describes it as "long non-coding RNA (EGUI_LNC034541)". The record is from RNAcentral. Lineage: Eukaryota; Viridiplantae; Streptophyta; Magnoliopsida; Arecales; Arecaceae.